CCUGGCAAUGACGACAAACUUGCCCUCACUGAGGACUGGUUCUGUGAUGAUAGUAUUGUACUCAGCUAAGCCAGG
This is a small nucleolar RNA of Pseudophryne corroboree (corroboree frog), 75 nucleotides long. RefSeq annotates it as small nucleolar RNA SNORD103/SNORD85. NCBI's taxonomy places the organism in Eukaryota, Metazoa, Chordata, Amphibia, Anura, Myobatrachidae. The record is from RefSeq and is a predicted model, not a curated record. The transcript has a single exon.